CCUACGGGAGGCAGCAGUGAGGAAUAUUGGACAAUGGGCGCAAGCCUGAUCCAGCCAUGCCGCGUGCAGGAUGACGGUCCUAUGGAUUGUAAACUGCUUUUAUACAGGAAGAAACACCUCUACGUGUAGAGACUUGACGGUACUGUAAGAAUAAGGAUCGGCUAACUCCGUGCCAGCAGCCGCGGUAAUACGGAGGAUCCAAGCGUUAUCCGGAAUCAUUGGGUUUAAAGGGUCCGUAGGCGGUUUAGUAAGUCAGUGGUGAAAGCCCAUCGCUCAACGGUGGAACGGCCAUUGAUACUGCUAGACUUGAAUUAUUAGGAAGUAACUAGAAUAUGUAGUGUAGCGGUGAAAUGCUUAGAGAUUACAUGGAAUACCAAUUGCGAAGGCAGGUUACUACUAAUUGAUUGACGCUGAUGGACGAAAGCGUGGGUAGCGAACAGGAUUAGAUACCCUGGUAGUCCACGCCGUAAACGAUGGAUACUAGCUGUUCGGUAGNAUCUGAGUGUGUAGAGAAGUAGAGUAAGUAGUCCGACCGUAACGGGUAGGUACGUUCGUUCGUAAGAAGUUAAGUAAACGUUAAAGUUAGUUAGUUAGUUACGGGACGUUGAGACGUUAGCGACGGACGACGACGAGGGAGGAGG
RNAcentral lists this ribosomal RNA (641 nucleotides) under uncultured bacterium. Its description in RNAcentral is "bacterial SSU rRNA". The stretch from base 1 to 534 matches the Rfam family "Bacterial small subunit ribosomal RNA", at positions 338 to 873 of the family's 1533-position model. The record is from RNAcentral.